GAUGAACGCUGGCGGCGUGCCUAAUACAUGCAAGUCGAGCGAACAGACGAGAAGCUUGCUCCUCUGACGUUAGCGGCGGACGGGUGAGUAACACGUGGAUAACCUACCUAUUAGACUGGGAUAACUUCGGGGAACCGGGCCUAAUAACGGAUCAUAUAUUGUACCGCAUGGUUCAUUAGUUAAACAGGGCUUUGCUGAUACUUAUAGCUGGAUUCGUGCUGCUUUAGCUAGUUGGUAAGGUAACGGCUUACCAAGGCGACGAUGCGUAGCCGACCUGAGAGGGUGAUCGGCCACACUGGAACUGAGACACGGUCCAGACUCCUACGGGAGGCAGCAGUAGGGAAUCUUCCGCAAUGGGCGAAAGCCUGACGGAGCAACGCCGCGUGAGUGAUGAAGGUCUUCGGAUCGUAAAACUCUGUUAUUAGGGAAGAACAAAUGUGUAAGUAACUAUGCACGUCUUGACGGUACCUAAUCAGAAAGCCACGGCUAACUACGUG
This 497-nucleotide ribosomal RNA is filed under the name uncultured bacterium. RNAcentral's name for it is "partial 16S ribosomal RNA". It matches the Rfam family "Bacterial small subunit ribosomal RNA", at positions 28 to 507 of the family's 1533-position model. The record is from RNAcentral.